UUAGUGUUGUGAACUCGACGAGUAGGGCGGGACACGUGUUAUCCUGUCUGAAUAUGGGGGGACCAUCCUCCAAGGCUAAAUACUCCUGAUUGACCGAUAGUGAACCAGUACCGUGAGGGAAAGGCGAAAAGAACCCCGGCGAGGGGAGUGAAAUAGAACCUGAAACCGUGUACGUACAAGCAGUGGGAGCCUUGAUUUAUCAGGGUGACUGCGUACCUUUUGUAUAAUGGGUCAGCGACUUAUAUUCUGUAGCAAGGUUAACCGUAUAGGGGAGCCGUAGGGAAACCGAGUCUUAACUGGGCGAAUGAGUUGCAGGGUAUAGACCCGAAACCCGGUGAUCUAGCCAUGGGCAGGUUGAAGGUUGGGUAACACUAACUGGAGGACCGAACCGACUAAUGUUGAAAAAUUAGCGGAUGACUUGUGGCUGGGGGUGAAAGGCCAAUCAAACCGGGAGAUAGCUGGUUCUCCCCGAAAGCUAUUUAGGUAGCGCCUCGUGAACUCAUCUUCGGGGGUAGAGCACUGUUUCGACUAGGGGGUCAUCCCGACUUACCAACUCGAUGCAAACUACGAAUACCGAAGAAUGUUAUCACGGGAGACACACGGCGGGUGCUAACGUUCGUCGUGAAGAGGGAAACAACCCAGACCGCCAGCUAAGGUCCCAAAGUCAUAGUUAAGUGGGAAACGAAGUGGGAAGGCUCAGACAGCCAGGAUGUUGGCUUAGAAGCAGCCAUCAUUUAAAGAAAGCGUAAUAGCUCACUGGUCGAGUCGGCCUGCGCGGAAGAUGUAACGGGGCUAAACUAUGCACCGAAGCUGCGGCAGCGAUAUGUAAAUAUUGUUGGGUAGGGGAGCGUUCUGUAAGCCUGUGAAGGUGUACUGUGAGGUAUGCUGGAGGUAUCAGAAGUGCGAAUGCUGACAUAAGUAACGAUAAUGCGGGUGAAAAACCCGCACGCCGGAAGACCAAGGGUUCCUGUCCAACGUUAAUCGGGGCAGGGUGAGUCGACCCCUAAGGCGAGGCAGAAAUGCGUAGUCGAUGGGAAACGGGUUAAUAUUCCCGUACUGGUGAUAAUUGCGAUGGGGGGACGGAGAAGGCUAGGCUGGCCGGGCGACGGUUGUCCCGGUUUAAGGAUGUAGGCAGGUGAA
Molecule: ribosomal RNA, 1140 nt
Filed under: Providencia rettgeri
Lineage: Bacteria; Pseudomonadati; Pseudomonadota; Gammaproteobacteria; Enterobacterales; Morganellaceae
Description: partial 23S ribosomal RNA
Rfam family: Bacterial large subunit ribosomal RNA
Source: RNAcentral